UCAGACAUAACAAAAGGAACAAGGUGGUGCUCCAAUGGCCUACCUCCUGCCUUUCUUCACUUCUUACAGAUCCUGCCACCUUUUCAACCUCUCCACACUGGCACUAACUGACACCAGGAGGUGUUGCUGACCUUCUAGGAAUGAGGCGCCAAGCUAGCCUUCAGGUUUAUAGAUCACUUCCUAGAGAGUGGUGAGGUGCUAUAUCCCAUGACAUCAGGCACACUGUUCCCCUUGCCUUGGGCAGAACCUUCCUUCCAGUGAGUACAGCAUGAAGACAUGGCAGCAAUAUAUUGCGUGAUUUAUUGAAGUUUCUUUGGACUUUAACUCUUUUGUUGCUAGGCAUUUUUAGAGAUGGGGUUCUCAUUAGAUAGCCCAGGCUGGCUUAGAACGUCCUCUGUAACUUGGGCUAGCCAUGCCUCAGUCCCUCCCCUCAAGUUCUGAUAUACAUAUAAACACCACCUUUGUUAUCUUUGAGUGCUCUGUAUGCCUGUAUGCCUGUAUGCCUAUAGAGCAUUACAGAUGGCUGUGAGUCACCCUACGCUUACCAGGAAUUGAACUCAGGACCUCUGGAAGAGCAGCCAGUGCUCUUUCACAUACACAUCUCAUACAAACGAGACGUCUACAUAGAAGUGAUCACAGUGUUUGGAAAAGAAAGCAAAGAGAACCGAAGAAAAUGUACUCAAAAGGAAAUGGGGCAGAAUCUCUUAAAAGUGUGUGUUUGAUAGACUGUGCUCGACUGUACCUCGGAGCAGAAGAAGCAAGCAGCC
Molecule: long non-coding RNA, 767 nt
Filed under: Rattus norvegicus (Norway rat)
Lineage: Eukaryota; Metazoa; Chordata; Mammalia; Rodentia; Muridae
Description: long non-coding RNA NONRATT024419
Source: RNAcentral